GCCAGAGGAGGCAAUCGUUAUCCGGAAUUAUUGGGCGUAAAGCGUCCGUAGGUGGUUUGGCAAGUCUGGGGUUAAAGCCCGGAGCCUAACUCCGGAUCGGCCCUGGAAACUGCCAGACUAGAGUAAGGUAGGGGUUGCGGGAAUUCCCGGUGUAGCGGUGAAAUGCGUAGAUAUCGGGAAGAACACCAGUGGCGAAAGCGCGCAACUGGGCCAUUACUGACACUGAGGGACGAAAGCUAGGGGAGAGAAUGGG
This 253-nucleotide ribosomal RNA is filed under the name uncultured bacterium. RNAcentral describes it as "partial 16S ribosomal RNA". It matches the Rfam family "Bacterial small subunit ribosomal RNA", at positions 524 to 776 of the family's 1533-position model. The record is from RNAcentral.